This 427-nucleotide long non-coding RNA is filed under the name Phoenix dactylifera (date palm). RNAcentral describes it as "long non-coding RNA (PDAC_LNC000477)". The record is from RNAcentral. Lineage: Eukaryota; Viridiplantae; Streptophyta; Magnoliopsida; Arecales; Arecaceae.
UGUGCUAAUUUAAUAAUAAAGAUUUUAAAAAGGUUGGUAGGAUGGGUGUGGAAAUGAAUGAAUAUAAGUUCUGAAAUUUUAGCAGCAAAGUAAGUUUUCAAUGGUAUAGAUUUCAUACAAGAGAAUUUAGAACAUAAAUCGGUGAGCAAAUCCAGAAGAAGGAGGAACCUAUUACCUAUCGGGAAGAAGAGGAUUAGAACGCUUUGUUGGUGGAUCUUCAAGCGAUGACAAAGAUGAAGGUUGCUGCGCAGAAAAAUCAGCAAGUUGAUUUGUUGAAUCUGGAUCGUUGUGCGUUGGGGAUGAAUGCCAAUGAGAUGAUAGAUGGCUGGAUGAUGACCCGAGGAGGAGGGUCUGCCGCUGAUGCAUGAGCUGAUGUUAGAUCUAAAGAUGGAAAGCUCAGAUCUAAAGGAAGAAAGGAUUAUGUGCG